Rosa rugosa (rugosa rose) is the source of this 2256-nucleotide RNA transcript. RefSeq lists it as uncharacterized. The transcript has 6 exons. NCBI's taxonomy places the organism in Eukaryota, Viridiplantae, Streptophyta, Magnoliopsida, Rosales, Rosaceae. The record is from RefSeq and is a predicted model, not a curated record.
AGUCCAGUCGGGGAGUCCGGUAUAAAUAGAACAGCGCUAUCGAACCCUAGCUAGCUCUGCCUCCUCCUUCUUCUUCUUCUUCUGUUCACUCUCUUACUGAUCGGGAGCCUUCACAACUCUAUUCGCCCAGGUUCUUAUACUUUGAUAAAGAUGUGUGAAUUCAGCCACGGGAAUAGAGGAAUUAAUUGAUGCAAAAGAGGAUUUUAAUGAAAUCGGUAAUUGGAGGUACUAUGAUUCAAUCUUUAUGAAAGUCAUAUUUUGUAUGUUCAUAAAUUUAUAUUCUUUUCUCACAAUAUUGAAUUCUUUUGUAUGCUCAUCAAAGUUUCUGAUUAGUAUUGCUCAAAGAGUGACUCUGCUUUUAGAUUUAGGGGUUGUGACCACUUAUUCAAAUAGAAAAUUAUAUAGUAGCACCUAACCAAAGAUAUAAACACAAAUAAUGACACAAGCUCAGGCCAAAAACCAAAUGAAGCAGGUCUGGCUUCGAAUUUUGAUAGAAAAUGACUAAAAUGCUUAGUUUUCAUUACAAUUUACGCUCAUGCCACUGGGCAUAAUACUCAACGACCGAAACCAAAAAUCCCAAAACGCAAAAUGCAAAACGCCCAAAUCCAAAUCAGAAACCCUAAAAUCUCCAGCGUUGGAUCCAAAACGCACUGCAAGAUCUCCGAAGCAGUAGCACUCAGCUUGAAUCUGGCUCCAAUGGAGGUUGGUAAGGAAAAAUUGGGAACACAUCAAGCAAAGCAUUGAGACUAUCAUUUGCUACUGUGGUUAAAUUGCCUUCCACGACGUGCUUCAUAAAGUGUAUGAGCAGCUCAAUCGUGAAAAAAAGAUGGGAUUGAAAGCCGAGUUGAAGAAGACGCCAUUUUGGAACUUGAUUGAAGCUUAUGAUAAGAGAUUGAUGACUAAGAACACAGCUGCAAAAUCAGAUCGAGAGAUGCAUAGGUUAGUGCAAUGCCGGCUUUGAAGAAAUUUAAGUUUGGAAACAAGUUGGCAGAAAUAAGUGUAUCGGACGUGCAAUACAUUUAGGGUUUGCCAAACCGAAAAUCAGCUAUCACGAUGCCAAACCCAAUAGAUGAUCCUAAUAAGCUGACUGAUCAUCCUCUUGUUCGAAGGUUCUUUCCAAAUGACCAAAGGAUAAAAAAAAGCAAGAAUCAUGAGCUGUAUUGAUGAGCAGUUAAGGGAAAAAGCUCCGGGGUGGAUAGAGAACAUGACAAAGUUGUUGCUACUGCAUUUGUUCAUCACGCUACUGUUUGCAAGCUCGGGGUCAACCUUAGGAUGGAGUUUCGUGAAAUGCAUCACGGAUAUUGAGACAAUGAAGGGAUAUAAUUGGGCAUCCGCUAUUAGUGACUAUUUGCUAUUGUGUUUGCAAGCUGCUACAAAGGGAAAAGCAAGGCAAAUCAGUAGAUGUGUAACAUUAAUCCCGUAUUGGAUAUCCGAGAGGAGUACUAUGCUUGUUGAAAUUGAAGGCAGAGAAGCAAUGACUCCAGGGUGCGUCAAGUGGAGUCUUCCUCAAUUCACAAAAGAAUUGCAGAAAAUGCAAGUUGAUGAAAUAGAGGUGAUGGAUUGAUAAUGCAGUUGCCAACAACAAUAAAAGCAAACAUGGCGAGGAAAACAGCGACGAUGACUUUGAGAACCCUCCAUCAAAGCAUGCUGCUACUGCACAGGCAAAGGGGCAGAAAAGGAAAGGAACCAGAUCAAAUGGAAAGGAACGAAAAAGCUGUUACUGAGGCUGAUAAAGCUUAAAGGAACGAAAAAGCUGCUACUGAGGCCGGUGCAAAUAUUACUGAUCAAAUACUAAAAAACAUUGUAGAAGAGAUUGUGAAUGAAGCUGAAAGGAACGAAAAAGCUGCUACUGAGGCCGGUGCAAAUAUUACGAAUCAAAUCCUAAAAACCAUUGUAGAAGAGAUUGUGAAUGAAGAGUACAAGAGCAUGUAUGAUUUGCAUUUAUAUGGAAUGAUCCAGCUUGGUUCAAGGAAUGGGAAGACUUGUUGCAGAGUGAGUAUGACGAAUUUGGCUAUCCAGACACUGAUGAAGAACAUAUCAACACAGUGGAGCAUUGGCAAGAUGUAGCAAUGUUGAAACAAGAUAUGGCGGGAAACGCUAUUGAGAGCUGCAAGAGGAAGCAAGCUUAUAUGGAGAGGUUGUGGGAUGAAAAAGAAGAUGUGUGAAUUUAGCCAUGGGAAUAGAGGAAUUAAUUGAUGCAAAAGAGGAUUUUAAUGAAAUCGGUAAUUUGGAGGUACUAUGAUUCAAUUUUUAUGA